Long non-coding RNA from Rhineura floridana, 697 nucleotides. RefSeq lists it as uncharacterized. The record is from RefSeq and is a predicted model, not a curated record. Lineage: Eukaryota; Metazoa; Chordata; Lepidosauria; Squamata; Rhineuridae. The transcript has 2 exons.
AAGAGUGAACCCUUAAUGACCUGCAGCUGACAGAGCACUCUGAUGUUCAUUGCUGGAUGAGGCCCAUGCUCAGUAAUGCACAGUAGCCAUAGGAGGGUUUCGUGGGGGCCCCUUGACUGCCCUUCUGUCCCGAGAAGCUCAUGACACUUUCUCCAACCAGCACGCUACAGAGAUCGAGGCGUCGGCAGGUGGGCAGUGAGAGUGCCUCUUCCUGAUCUGCAUGCAGCCCCCAGGCAUGGCUGGGCACAAAGCAACCCUAGGAGGAGGGAGGUGUGGCGGCAAUUUGCUCCCAAGCCAUUUCCUUUCUGUCUAGUUUCAGGAAGCCACAGCCACAGCAUUGCUUCACCUGACUAGCCAGUGUGGACACAAGAACGAGCCCAUCGUCCCCAGCUGGUCUUCCUGUCAGGUGGCCUAACAAAUGGUGAAAUGAAAUGACGCAGUCUGAUCCAAUCUGCUGUUACCAGUGGAAACGUGAAGUGUCGCAGCCCUGCCUCAAGCUGGGAAACAGAGGUGGAGGGCAAACUGGUUGCGUCCAAGGCAGCUCCUGACAUGGAGACUGAGUCCCUGAACAAGAGCCCCUGGAUCAAAGCCUCUGAAUCAUAGCCAGGACCCCACAAGGACCCCCUUAUCUCAGUCUGCACCUGUAUUGUGGUGUCAUUGUAUUUAACAUGUUUUUUAAAGAUGUUUUGCUUUUAAA